Molecule: microRNA precursor, 71 nt
Filed under: Picea abies (Norway spruce)
Lineage: Eukaryota; Viridiplantae; Streptophyta; Pinopsida; Pinales; Pinaceae
Description: miR11422b stem-loop (pab-MIR11422b)
Source: miRBase by way of RNAcentral
GAACUCAGUAAUGUGCUUUUGGAUGAACGAAUGGCCUGAUAUAAGUUGAUCUGAAGCACAUUGUUGGGUUU